This 403-nucleotide ribosomal RNA is filed under the name uncultured bacterium. Its description in RNAcentral is "partial 16S ribosomal RNA". It matches the Rfam family "Bacterial small subunit ribosomal RNA", at positions 30 to 526 of the family's 1533-position model. The record is from RNAcentral.
AUUGAACGCUGGCGGCAGGCCUAACACAUGCCAGUCGAGCGAACGGCGGACGGGUGAGUAAUGUAUCGGGACUGCACGAUAGAGGGGGAUAACUACACUAAACCGUGGCUAAUCCCGCAUAUUCUCUGCUAACCCAUAUGGGAUUAGCUAGUAGGUAAGGUAAUGGCUUACCUAGGCGAAGAUCCCUAGAUGGUCUGAGAGGAUGAUCAGCCACACUGGGACUGAGACACGGCCCAGACUCCUACGGAGGCAGCAGUGGGGAAUAGUGAACAAUGGGCGCAAGCCUGAUGCAGCCAUGCCGCGUGUAUGAAGAAGGCCCUAGGGUUGUAAAGUACUUUCAGUCGGGAGGCGUUACCGACAGAAGAAGCACCGGCUAACUCCGUGCCAGCAGCCGCGGUAAUAC